UGACUGGGAUGAGCAGAUGCUGGGGCUGAGAGUGUCAUGGUGGAGCCUCCGUCCCUGCUCAUCCUCCCCGCAUGUUG
Molecule: microRNA precursor, 77 nt
Organism: Colobus angolensis palliatus
Lineage: Eukaryota; Metazoa; Chordata; Mammalia; Primates; Cercopithecidae
Source: Ensembl